GAUGAACGCUGGCGGCGUGCCUAAUACAUGCAAGUCGAGCGAACAGACGAUGAGCUUGCUCCUCUGACGGUAGCGGCGGACGGGUGAGUAACACGUGGAUAACCUUCCUAUAAGACUGGGAUAACUUCGGGAAACCGGAGCUAAUACCGGAUAACAUGUUGAACCGCAUGGUUCAACAGUGAAAGACGGCUUUGCUGUCACUUAUAGAUGGUUCCGCGUCGCAUUAGCUAGUUGGUAAGGUAACGGCUUACCAAGGCAACGAUGCGUAGCCGACCUGAGAGGGUGAUCGGCCACACUGGAACUGAGACACGGUCCAGACUCCUACGGGAGGCAGCAGUAGGGAAUCUUGCGCAAUGGGCGAAAGCCUGACGGAGCAACGCCGCGUGAGUGAAGAAGGUCUUCGGAUCGUAAAACUCUGUUAUUAGGGAAGAACAAAUGUGUAAGUAACUAUGCACGUCUUGACGGUACCUAAUCAGAAAGCCACGGCUAACUACGUG
This 497-nucleotide ribosomal RNA is filed under the name uncultured bacterium. RNAcentral describes it as "partial 16S ribosomal RNA". It matches the Rfam family "Bacterial small subunit ribosomal RNA", at positions 28 to 507 of the family's 1533-position model. The record is from RNAcentral.